Esox lucius (northern pike) is the source of this 396-nucleotide long non-coding RNA. The record is from Ensembl. Lineage: Eukaryota; Metazoa; Chordata; Actinopteri; Esociformes; Esocidae.
CAGGAUGUAUGGACAGGAUGUACGGACAGGAGGUACGGACAGGAUGUACGGACAGGAUGUACGGACAGGAUGUAUGGACAGGAGGUAUGGACAGGAGGUAUGGACAGGAUGUAUGGACAGGAUGUAUGGACAGGAUGUAUGGACAGGAGGUAUACACAGGAUGUAUGGACAGGAGGUAUGGACAGGAUGUAUGGACAGGAUGUAUGGACAGGAGGUAUGGACAGGAUGUAUGGACAGGAUGUAUGGACAGGAUGUAUGGACAGGAGGUAUACACAGGAUGUAUGGACAGGAGGUAUGGACAGGAUGUAUGGACAGGAGGUAUGGACAGGAGGUAUGGACAGGAUGUAUGGACAGGAGGUAUGGACAGGAUGUGUAGGGCCCAUCAGUAACGGGCAU